AAAAGCACUUUGAAAAGAGAGUGCAAGAGAACGUGAAAUCGAUAUAAUGGAAGCGAAUGAAGUCGACGUAUCUAACACGUAUUCAGUUGUUUGGUCGGUCGAUCUCAUCGAAUUUUGGCAUUCCGUAAGGUUGUCGAUUCGAGUGUUGUCGAUUGGUUGAAUAAUGCAUUUGCGUGUAGAGUGCGACGGGUCAGUUGGUGUUGUUGGCGGAUGUUUAAACAAGAGGGUGUUGCUUUCGGGCGGCAUAACCUUGUUUUUUCGGAUGCCGAUUAAUGCUGUCUGAUUGUAGUUUGAAACACUGGUGAUGUUAAACGGUGUUGCCGUAUUGUUGUUGGCGUCUCAUUAACUGGCAAUGCGAUGUAUCAUAAUGGGAGGUCAAAUUCAGUGCGCAAUACGACUGUUGUUUCACUCGUUGUAUAGUCGGUCACUCAUUCGACCCGUCUUGAAACACGGACCAAGGAGUUUAUAGUACGCGCAAGUCAUUGAGUUAUCACGAAACUCAAAGGCGUAAUGAAAGUGAGAUUGCUUUUAAAUUGUGAAAUGUGAUCGUUGGGGUUGUUUUUCGACAAUGGCCCAACGUGCAGCAUUGCCCUGUGCUAAGGACUUGUCCUGGUGCGGAGGUUAAGCGUGUGCAAUGAGACCCGAAAGAUGGUGAACUAUGCCUGAACAGGAUGAAGCCAGAGGAAACUCUGGUGGAAGUCCGAAACGGUUCUGACGUGCAAAUCGAUCGUCUGAUUUUGGUAUAGGAGCGAAAGACUAAUCGAACUAUC
This 770-nucleotide ribosomal RNA is filed under the name Peraphelenchus orientalis. RNAcentral's name for it is "eukaryotic LSU rRNA". It matches the Rfam family "Eukaryotic large subunit ribosomal RNA", at positions 367 to 944 of the family's 3401-position model. Lineage: Eukaryota; Metazoa; Nematoda; Chromadorea; Rhabditida; Aphelenchoididae. The record is from RNAcentral.